UGGAAGAGAAAAGUUGCUGGGAUAGGGGGU
RNAcentral lists this non-coding RNA (30 nucleotides) under Mus musculus (house mouse). Lineage: Eukaryota; Metazoa; Chordata; Mammalia; Rodentia; Muridae. The record is from RNAcentral.